AUUGAACGCUGGCGGCAUGCCUUACACAUGCAAGUCGAACGGCAGCACGGGUGCUUGCACCUGGUGGCGAGUGGCGAACGGGUGAGUAAUACAUCGGAACAUGUCCUGUAGUGGGGGAUAGCCCGGCGAAAGCCGGAUUAAUACCGCAUACGAUCUACGGAUGAAAGCGGGGGACCUUCGGGCCUCGCGCUAUAGGGUUGGCCGAUGGUUGAUUCGAUAGUUGGUGGGGUAAAGGCCUACCAAGGCGACGAUCAGUAGCUGGUCUGAGAGGACGACCAGCCACAGGGAGACUGAGACGGGGCCCAGUCUCCUAGGGGGGGGAGCAGUGGGAAAUUUUGGAAAAGGGGCGAAACCGAGCGCGAGAAAUCCCGCGUGUGUGAAGAGGUCUUUGGGGGUGUAAAGCACUUUUGUCCGGAAAAAAAUCCUUGGAUCUAAUACUGUACAGGAUGACGGUACCGGACCAGAAAGCAACGGCUAACUACGUG
This 485-nucleotide ribosomal RNA is filed under the name uncultured bacterium. Its description in RNAcentral is "partial 16S ribosomal RNA". It matches the Rfam family "Bacterial small subunit ribosomal RNA", at positions 29 to 507 of the family's 1533-position model. The record is from RNAcentral.